AAACUUUCAACAACGGAUCUCUUGGUUCCCCCAUCGAUGAAGAACGCAGCGAAACGCGAUAGUUAAUGUGAAUUGCAGAAUUCAGUGAAUCAUCGAGUCUUUGAACGCACAUUGCGCCCAUUGGUAUUCCUUUGGGCAUGUCUGUUUGAGC
This 151-nucleotide ribosomal RNA is filed under the name Arthrobotrys sp. YMF1.01895. RNAcentral's name for it is "5.8S ribosomal RNA". It matches the Rfam family "5.8S ribosomal RNA". Rfam says of the family: 5.8S ribosomal RNA (5.8S rRNA) is a component of the large subunit of the eukaryotic ribosome. It is transcribed by RNA polymerase I as part of the 45S precursor that also contains 18S and 28S rRNA. The record is from RNAcentral. Lineage: Eukaryota; Fungi; Ascomycota; Orbiliomycetes; Orbiliales; Orbiliaceae.